CACACACUCCCACAGCAACUUAGGUGUGAUUGGUGGGAGAGGACAGCAGCGGAUGUUAAGGACAGAUGCCAACCUGAUCCUGGAGUGAGGUGGGCCAUGAGAAUCCUAGACUAUGCAAAUUAGAGGGAUGCUUAGCCCUCCCUGGUUCAGCCUCUCUUGGGUUACAGAUGGGAAACUGAGGCCCAGAGUGGCAGCCACUCUCUCAAGGUCCCAGACUCUGGGCUGCCCAUCAAAAGGUGAUGGGUAAUGAUGAAUUGCUGGGGAUGCAGGGUAACCCCAAAGGCAGGGAGGGCCAGACUGCCCACAUACACACAAGCACAAGCACAACCAUGAUACGGGUCACCCUCCCCACCAGCACACAGGCCGAGAUGGUGUACGCAUCAUCCCUCCUGCCAACACAGCAAGAGUGCUUUUCCUUCUUUCUGCUGCUAAGCACCCUCAGGAACGAGGCCUCGAGGGUGACGGGAGGUGGGAGAAGCCCAAGGCUGACCCAGGCCCACUCUGUUGGGUUCAUCCAUCCUCCAAAUCCAUCUUUGGAGGCUGAAUUCACACACAAAGCCGUUGUGAGAUGGGAGCUCUGAAGAUGCGGACCCAGACCCAGAAACAGACUGUUUCUCCAGGGCCAACUUUGUGCCAGGAAUUUUCACCCCAUGUCGUUUCACUUACACUCUCCUCUGGUCACGACGUCCCUGCAAGAGAGGUAUUAUCAACCCAUCUUACAGACGAGGAAACUGAGGCCCAGAGAUGUAGCAUGAGGGUCACCCUUGGCAAGUUAUUCUCCUCCCCAGUAUCCCAGAAUGGCCCAUCUGGCUGCUGCCUUCUAGAGGAAAAGUCCUAGCUGGGGUCCUUUACACUCCAGGAGACUCCCAAGGGGCAGGGAUGUGCUGGCAGGGCUUGGCAUGGUCUGAGGCUCGCAGGGAAGCCAUGGCUACAUUUUUGGAUUUUACUCCACCCCCACUCCCCACCUCUUCUCAACCCCACACACCCUUCCCUCAGGGCUUCUGCCUGCAGGGACAUCUGGGCACAGGAAUGGCCACAGUCAAAGGGCCCAGGGAGAGGGCUGCAGGCACCUCCUCCUGCUUCUCACCCUCAGAAGAGUCUCAGCCCUUAAAGGACUCUCCACCCAGGAGCUCGGGACCAGGCCUGAGGCCCCCUGCUCCACUGGCUUGUCCCUUCAUUUCACUGGGAUAGAGGAGUCAGAUGAGGGAGGGGUCCAUCCCCUUGGAGCUGUUUUGUUUUUCUUUCUGUGACACAAUCUACCUCAGCCAGUCUCUCCCCUAGCAGAACUGACCCCCCUGGUCCUCUGCCUCCUGUCCCCUGACCCCCACCCCAGUCUGGAUGUUCAGUCCUUCCCUGUCCUUCCCACCCUGCCAGGGUCCUUGCAGCCCAGAGGGUCCCUGAGGGUUCCUUAAGCCACCUGCCCUCCACAUCCAUUAGACAGGAGAAAGUGAGACCCAGAGAGGACCAAGGACUCACCAAAGGCCACACAGGAAGUCAGUGGCAGUUAGGAUUUCCCUGGGGAUGAGAGGUAGUUGGGUGUGUCUUAAUUUUGCCAGGAACAGAAGAGAACAGGAUGCUUUGGGUACCAAAUAUGGCAGGCCCUGCCCUCAGUUACCUCUAACCCCAGGAGACCAGUGUCCCCAUCUCCAGGGCAGACUUCUGUCUACCUGUUUUCUUAGAACUGACCCCCACGCUGUUGACUGUGUUCCCCAAACCUCUGCAGGCACCACACACACCCACAUCACGGCGCCUCCUGGCACUGAUGUGCCAUGUGCCUUGUAACUGUCACCCCAGCUGAACAGCACAGACCUCCCCACUCCCCCACACAGGGCUCCCCAAUGAGGGAGCCUUGCUUGAUCCCCUCCUGUCAUCUGCCUCAUUCUUGUGUCUCCCCCAAAUCUGCCUUACCCCCAGCCAGCUCCCUGCUACACCUGUGUCCCACAGAGGCAUGUCACCCAUGAGAGUCGGGAAAGACAGAGGGCAGGGAAGGUGAGGCCUGGGGAAAGUCCAGGCCUCUGGAUAAGGGCUGAGGGAGCUGGGAAUAUCCAGGGAAGGUCUCGCUUGCAGUCAACACCCUCCUAAGUACUCGAGUUCUGCAGGUUCUUCCCUUGGAAUUAAUCUGGACCUGGAGUCCACAGAAGCCUCAGACAAUAGGGAGAAGGUUUUCUGGGACGAAGGCUGCAUGGGAUGCAAACUCAAAUGCCUCGAGAUAAUGAAACUAAGAGUAAUGGAGACAAUAGGGAGUGUUGGGGACUCUGGCAGACAGGAGAGUGAGUGUGUGCCCUGCCUGUAGGUACUAAAAUUCAAAUGUUUGGGAAACUGCUGGCCACUCAUAUUUGGCCCACGUGCCACCAGUUUGAGACUUACGGUUCAAAAUGUUGAGAAGGUUCUGGAGUGUCCUGCCAAGUGGAAACCCCUCAGCGGAAGUCAGGGACAGAGGCUGUGGCUCCCUCUGAGACUUUGCUAGUCCAACCCUAAAUCCCCAUCACCUGGCUAUCUGAGAACUGAGCCCACUGCCCUCUCAGCUGAAAAGGGAAAUCUGGGGGGUCCACAGGGUCCCUGGUUUGGGAAUCAUCUGAUAAGGGCUACAGGCCCCUCCAGUGCCUCAUGGGGUUAGAGGCUGCUGGAGUCUUCUCCAGCUUGGGGGCCCCUGGUUAGGAGGAAUCUACAUUGGGUUGCAGGGGAGUCCAGGUGCAGGAUGUGGACUGAAAGCCAGGACCCAAGAGUCCCAUUCUGUGCUGGCCCCUGCCACCUUUGGCACCUGUCUCCCUCCCAGUUCAAGCUGUGGUGGGGCCUGCAGUAGAGGUUGGUAGGGGGAGCUGUAGUUUCUAUAUUAAAGUGCUUUGCAGUGUCUCAAUGGAAGGGAACAAGUGGGUGUCAAGCCGCAUGGGCAGUAGUAGGGUUGGGGUUUGAGCCCCCUUCCCAACCAUAGAGGCUUCUGAGACCUGGGGCUGGGGAGGAAAGGAGCUUCAAUGUGCCAUUCUGGUUGGGGAGAGGAUAGGACAUUUCUGGGUCCUUGGCUGCUGCCGGUAGAGGUAUGGGGAGGAAAAACUCUAGAGUGGGAGAUGUGGAAGUGGAAAAGGAAGGCCCUGUCCAGGCCUGGCCUGGUUUCUGGAGACAGAAAACUCCCCAGGGGACAGAGAGGUUACCCCCUUGUGCUUAGCUUCUGCCACCCUUCCCUUCUCUGGAGGAGAAGGCUGCCCUCUCCUCAGCAACCCUGGCCUUUAUUCUAUGCAUAACCACUGCAAGGGCACCCCUGGCCAGGCUGAAUGGGUGGGGGUCCCAGGGCACCUGCAAUAAUCUCAGAAUGGAGGGUAUCCUGGGACAAAGAGGGGGUACAGAAGGUGCCAGGGGGGAAAAGGUGAUUCCUCCAUCUCUCUCUCACCCAAAUCCCCCCAGAUCGAAUCUGACCCUUUUCCCUGGUCUCCAUUGUGCUAAACCACCGAACUUGGAGGAGCCUCAUAUAAACAUAGCCCCCAGCCCCACUGGCUUUCCGAACCCAUCAUGAAAUAGCUGGAAGGUAUCUGAACCGUUCCCAUAGCUCCCUCAUUAUUUUCUUCCCUGAGGAUCCUGUGGUUUAGGAGAUUUUUCUCCCAAACCAGCCUCAUUUCUUGAAGAAGAAUUCAUUUUCCCAUAUUAAAUUAACUCAAGCUGAGCUUCUGAUUGCAGAUAAAUGUUUCUAAGGCCUCAAGUCAACUUCUAGGGCUUGAAGGUGGGGGAAUAUAUGUAUUUUAUUGAGUUGCUUAAUACAAAAUUCUCAAAAGCACUUGUGGGCACUCAUUCCUGCCUUCACAGGCCCUCAGGGUCUGGGACCCCACGUUGGGAAUCAAUGGUUUAGACAUCCAGCAUCCUAUUUUACUGAAGGGGCAAGCCCAGAGAUGGGAGAUGGCCAGCCCAAGGUCACACAGCAAGUUGGUGGCAGGGUGAGACCAGAACCCGGUUCUUUUGAGGGUCCCACCAGAAUAUCCCCAGCCCUGAUCCUCCCCUCCAUGCCCCUGGAACUCUAGGAAUCACUAGCCAUGCCUGAGGGGCUAAUCUCCCUCUGUCAGCACAAUUCCGAGUGAUUCUUCCCCUCCCUGUCGUCUCUUCCUCCCUAACGGGCCCUCACCCCUGUCCUCUUCUGUUUCCUUUUCCUGGUCCCACCUCCUGGUAUUUACUACAUCUGUGCCAUCCCUCAUCCCCCUGACCCCCAUUCACCCUCCGAGCUUCCCCCAGGAGGGGGAGGGGGAGGGGGCCCCGAGCUGGGGCCUCUUUACUGAGACUCUUUUGUACACCACAAACUUUUUGUAUAUUUUUAAUUUUGCUGCGACAUGAGAUAUUAAAAGUCAUUUCAGUACGUGC
This 4341-nucleotide long non-coding RNA is filed under the name Homo sapiens (human). RNAcentral describes it as "non-protein coding lnc-XKR7-1:1". Lineage: Eukaryota; Metazoa; Chordata; Mammalia; Primates; Hominidae. The record is from RNAcentral.